GACGAACGCUGUCGGCGUGCUUAACACAUGCAAGUCGAACGGAAAGGCCCUGCUUUUGUGGGGUGCUCGAGCGGCGAACGGGUGAGUAACACGUGAGUAACCUGCCCUUGACUUUGGGAUAACUUCAGGAAACUGGGGCUAAUACCGGAUAGGAGCUCCUGCUGCAUGGUGGGGGUUGGAAAGUUUCGGCGGUUGGGGAUGGACUCGCGGCUUAUCAGCUUGUUGGUGGGGUAGUGGCUUACCAAGGCUUUGACGGGUAGCCGGCCUGAGAGGGUGACCGGCCACAUUGGGACUGAGAUACGGCCCAGACUCCUACGGGAGGCAGCAGUGGGGAAUAUUGCACAAUGGGCGGAAGCCUGAUGCAGCAACGCCGCGUGCGGGAUGACGGCCUUCGGGUUGUAAACCGCUUUCGCCUGUGACGAAGCGUGAGUGACGGUAAUGGGUAAAGAAGCACCGGCUAACUACGUGCCAGCAGCCGCGGUGAUACGUAGGGUGCGAGCGUUGUCCGGAUUUAUUGGGCGUAAAGGGCUCGUAGGUGGUUGAUCGCGUCGGAAGUGUAAUCUUGGGGCUUAACCCUGAGCGUGCUUUCGAUACGGGUUGACUUGAGGAAGGUAGGGGAGAAUGGAAUUCCUGGUGGAGCGGUGGAAUGCGCAGAUAUCAGGAGGAACACCAGUGGCGAAGGCGGUUCUCUGGGCCUUUCCUGACGCUGAGGAGCGAAAGCGUGGGGAGCGAACAGGCUUAGAUACCCUGGUAGUCCACGCUGUAAACGGUGGGUACUAGGUGUGGGGUCCAUUCCACGGGUUCCGUGCCGUAGCUAACGCUUUAAGUACCCCGCCUGGGGAGUACGGCCGCAAGGCUAAAACUCAAAGGAAUUGACGGGGCCCCGCACAAGCGGCGGAGCAUGCGGAUUAAUUCGAUGCAACGCGUAGAACCUUACCUGGGUUUGACAUGGAUCGGGAGUGCUCAGAGAUGGGUGUGCCUCUUUUGGGGUCGGUUCACAGGUGGUGCAUGCCUGUCGUCAGCUCGUGUCGUGAGAUGUUGGGUUAAGUCCCGCAACGAGCGCAACCCUUGUUCACUGUUGCCAGCACGUUAUGGUGGGGACUCAGUGGAGACCGCCGGGGUCAACUCGGAGGAAGGUGGGGAUGACGUCAAGUCAUCAUGCCCCUUAUGUCCAGGGCUUCACGCAUGCUACAAUGGCUGGUACAGAGAGUGGCGAGCCUGUGAGGGUGAGCGAAUCUCGGAAAGCCGGUCUCAGUUCGGAUUGGGGUCUGCAACUCGACCUCAUGAAGUCGGAGUCGCUAGUAAUCGCAGAUCAGCAACGCUGCGGUGAAUACGUUCCCGGG
Molecule: ribosomal RNA, 1343 nt
Filed under: uncultured bacterium
Lineage: Bacteria
Description: 16S ribosomal RNA
Rfam family: Bacterial small subunit ribosomal RNA
Source: RNAcentral